Molecule: ribosomal RNA, 500 nt
Filed under: uncultured bacterium
Lineage: Bacteria
Description: partial 16S ribosomal RNA
Rfam family: Bacterial small subunit ribosomal RNA
Source: RNAcentral
AUUGAACGCUGGCGGCAGGCCUAACACAUGCAAGUCGAGCGGAUGAGUGGAGCUUGCUCCAUGAUUCAGCGGCGGACGGGUGAGUAAUGCCUAGGAAUCUGCCUGGUAGUGGGGGACAACGUUUCGAAAGGAACGCUAAUACCGCAUACGUCCUACGGGAGAAAGCAGGGGACCUUUGGGCCUUGCGCUAUCAGAUGAGCCUAGGUCGGAUUAGCUAGUAGGUGAGGUAAUGGCUCACCUAGGCGACGAUCCGUAACUGGUCUGAGAGGAUGAUCAGUCACACUGGAACUGAGACACGGUCCAAACUCCUACGGGAGGCAGCAGUCGGGAAUAUUGGACAAUGGGCGAAAGCCUGAUCCAGCCAUGCCGCGUGUGUGAAGAAGGUCUUCGGAUUGUAAAGCACUUUAAGUUGGGAGGAAGGGCAGUAAGUUAAUACCUUGCUGUUUUGACGUUACCAACAGAAUAAGCACCGGCUAACUUCGUGCCAGCAGCCGCCGUAA